Molecule: ribosomal RNA, 455 nt
Filed under: uncultured cyanobacterium
Lineage: Bacteria; Bacillati; Cyanobacteriota
Description: bacterial SSU rRNA
Rfam family: Bacterial small subunit ribosomal RNA
Source: RNAcentral
AUUGUAUCCACGAUUGGGGAAUUUUCCGCAAUGGGCGAAAGCCUGACGGAGCAAUACCGCGUGAGGGAGGAAGGCUCUUGGGUUGUAAACCUCUUUUCUCAAGGAAUAAAAAAAUGAAGGUACUUGAGGAAUAAGCAUCGGCUAACUCCGUGCCAGCAGCCGCGGUAAUACGGAGGAUGCAAGCGUUAUCCGGAAUGAUUGGGCGUAAAGGGUCCGCAGGUGGCAGUGUAAGUCUGCUGUCAAAGAAUGAGGCUUAACCUCAUCAAGGCAGUGGAAACUACACAGCUAGAGUACGGUCGGGGUAGAAGGAAUUCCUGGUGUAGCGGUGAAAUGCGUAGAGAUCAGGAAGAACACCGGUGGCGAAAGCGUUCUGCUAGGCCUGUACUGACACUGAGGGACGAAAGCUAGGGGAGAGAAUGGGAUUAGAUACCCCAGUAGUCAAUCGUGGAUACAAU